GCCUGGGCUAUGGGAUGGAAAUCCUGUGAAAUCAGAUUGUUAUGAUCAUUGUACAACUACAGAUGUGAUAAAUUCAUUUGAGUAAUAAAAAAAAUGAAAAAAUGAAAAAAAAAUAAAUAAAAAAUAAAAAAUUUUGUUCACUAUUUGAAAUGACUGGAAUGCUAAUCAAAAAAGUGGAAGAUUGAAAGUUAAAGUCCUUCUUGAACUGCAAGAAAAUAAGAUCAACCUUGGAAAUUGUAGUGAAAUUUAUCAACAAAUGUAUAUUAAUCUCAGUUACCACCUUCUUUGCAUGAGUUAAAUAAAGAUGGGCUUAAAGACAUAUUUGGAAAUAUACUUUGAGUAUGAUGAUUAGAUUUAAAGAUCUGUAUCAUUCAUACACAUGUGAUUAUGUAAAAAUAUCAGCCAAAAUUUGCAGAAUAACAUAGGUAGAUAAGAUGCCUAUUUAUAAACCAUUGUAUAAUUUGUAUCAGUGUGAUUUAGGUUUUUCUAUCUACAGUUCAAACUUUUAUAUCCACUUGUUUGGAAAGAAGAUAUAAUUCUUUUAAUAGCAUCUCCAACUACAUAUUUGUUUGAAAAAGGUUUUGAUGUACCACUGCAGUUACUGCAAAGAUGAACAAGAGGUAAACUGCUAACGUGUAAAGGAGAUGUGACAUUCCUUUAAAUUUAGAACUAAAUUAGCAUAGGCAUUGACUUAGCAAGGAUCUUAGUUUUGUCAUACAAUUUUUAAAUAAAGUGCCGCUUAAAAUUUAGUUGUCUAGGAAAUCUGUGAUGUGAGCUCCCAGCAGGGAGAUGAGCAAAUUGUGAUCCAGGAAGAGAGGAGCUGAGAGCCUGGCGGUUGCUAAAUGGAUUGGAAGGCGCUUCAUUGAGGCCUGGGGAGGCUUCUUGCUUGUUGAGGGCUUCUGGCCCUCACGUGGGAAGGUCUGGUGCCCCUGGUCUGGGAAAAGAAGACCUGCAGACACUGCCCGCUGGAAAGAGCCGCUGCUGGGAGUGGGUAAGAAAGUUCCCUCCCCAUUCUGCCUCAGCCUGGACCGCUGGAGCAGGGUCGUUGGCUGCAGACCAUGUCACAGCUCAGACUCCCACAGCAGUAGCUUCUGAAGCUCUGCUCUCAUUGUCACCACCUGUGUCUGGCUUGGAGAGGCGGAAGGUUGACUAUGAAGGAGCUUUGAAGGGAUUCCUGCUCAGGCCGGCCAGUUGCCUUUCUUGGUGUCCGUCUGUUGUUGCCCAGCUAGAGACCACAAAAGCUUGA
This 1246-nucleotide long non-coding RNA is filed under the name Sus scrofa (pig). RNAcentral's name for it is "lncRNA (ENSSSCG00065012140.1)". Lineage: Eukaryota; Metazoa; Chordata; Mammalia; Artiodactyla; Suidae. The record is from RNAcentral.